Molecule: ribosomal RNA, 2913 nt
Filed under: Rodentibacter genomosp. 1
Lineage: Bacteria; Pseudomonadati; Pseudomonadota; Gammaproteobacteria; Pasteurellales; Pasteurellaceae
Description: bacterial LSU rRNA
Rfam family: Bacterial large subunit ribosomal RNA
Source: RNAcentral
GUUGUAUAGUUAAGUGACUAAGCGUACAAGGUGGAUGCCUUGGCAAUCAGAGGCGAAGAAGGACGUGCUAAUCUGCGAAAAGCUUGGAUGAGUUGAUAAGAAGCGUUUAAUCCAAGAUAUCCGAAUGGGGAAACCCAGUGAGUGAAGAACUCACUAUUCAUCAUUGAAUCCAUAGGUGAUGAAGGCAAACCGGGAGAACUGAAACAUCUAAGUACCCCGAGGAAAAGAAAUCAACCGAGAUUCCGUCAGUAGCGGCGAGCGAAAGCGGAGGAGCCAUCAAAUGUUAUCUCAUCAAUUAAGAGAAUCAACUGGGAAGUUGAAUCAUAGAGGGUGAUAAUCCCGUAUCUGAAAAUUGUUGGGAAGGACUAAGUUUGAGAGAAGUAGGGCGGGACACGUGAUAUCCUGUCUGAAGAAGGGGGGACCAUCCUCCAAGGCUAAAUACUCCUGAUUGACCGAUAGUGAACCAGUACUGUGAAGGAAAGGCGAAAAGAACCCCGGCGAGGGGAGUGAAAUAGAACCUGAAACCUUGUACGUACAAGCAGUGGGAGCCGUAAGGUGACUGCGUACCUUUUGUAUAAUGGGUCAGCGACUUAUAUUUUGUAGCGAGGUUAACCGAAUAGGGGAGCCGAAGGGAAACCGAGUCUUAACUGGGCGUUGAGUUGCAAGGUAUAGACCCGAAACCCGGUGAUCUAGCCAUGGGCAGGUUGAAGGUUGGGUAACACUAACUGGAGGACCGAACCGACUAAUGUUGAAAAAUUAGCGGAUGACUUGUGGCUGGGGGUGAAAGGCCAAUCAAACCGGGAGAUAGCUGGUUCUCCCCGAAAUCUAUUUAGGUAGAGCCUUGAGCGGACACCUUUGGGGGUAGAGCACUGUUUCGGCUAGGGGGCCAUCCCGGCUUACCAACCCGAUGCAAACUCCGAAUACCAAAGAGUGAUACUCAGGAGACACACGGCGGGUGCUAACGUCCGUCGUGGAGAGGGAAACAACCCAGACCGCCAGCUAAGGUCCCUAAGUCUAUAUUAAGUGGGAAACGAAGUGGGAAGGCUUAGACAGCUAGGAUGUUGGCUUAGAAGCAGCCACCAUUUAAAGAAAGCGUAAUAGCUCACUAGUCGAGUCGGCCUGCGCGGAAGAUGUAACGGGGCUGAAAUAUAGCACCGAAGCUGCGGCAUCAGAAUUUAUUCUGUUGGGUAGGGGAGCGUUGUGUAAGCGGAAGAAGGUGAAUCGAGAGGUUUGCUGGACGUAUCACAAGUGCGAAUGCUGACAUAAGUAACGAUAAAACGGGUGAAAAACCCGUUCGCCGGAAGACCAAGGUUUCCUGUCCAACGUUAAUCGGGGCAGGGUGAGUCGGCUCCUAAGGCGAGGCUGAAAAGCGUAGUCGAUGGGAAACGGGUUAAUAUUCCCGUACUUGGUAAAGCUGCGAUGUGGGGACGGAGCAGGUUAGGCAAGCAAGGUGUUGGAUAUCCUUGUUUAAGGUUGUAGGUGGAAAGUCUAGGCAAAUCCGGACUUUUAUACACUGAGAGCUGAUGACGAUUGUCUACGGACAAGAAGUUGCCGAUACCACACUUCCAGGAAAAGCCACUAAGCUUCAGGCUUUACUAAACCGUACUGAAAACCGACACAGGUGGUCAGGUAGAGAAUACUCAGGCGCUUGAGAGAACUCGGGUGAAGGAACUAGGCAAAAUAGCACCGUAACUUCGGGAGAAGGUGCGCCGGCGUAGAUUGUAAGGGCUUGCCCCUGAAGGUUGAACCGGUCGAAGAUACCAGCUGGCUGCAACUGUUUAUUAAAAACACAGCACUCUGCAAACACGAAAGUGGACGUAUAGGGUGUGAUGCCUGCCCGGUGCUGGAAGGUUAAUUGAUGGUGUAAUCGAAAGAGAAGCUCCUGAUCGAAGCCCCAGUAAACGGCGGCCGUAACUAUAACGGUCCUAAGGUAGCGAAAUUCCUUGUCGGGUAAGUUCCGACCUGCACGAAUGGCAUAAUGAUGGCCAGGCUGUCUCCACCCGAGACUCAGUGAAAUUGAAAUCGCCGUGAAGAUGCGGUGUACCCGCGGCUAGACGGAAAGACCCCGUGAACCUUUACUAUAGCUUGACACUGAACAUUGAAUUUUGAUGUGUAGGAUAGGUGGGAGCCUUUGAAGCGGUCACGCCAGUGAUUGUGGAGGCGACCUUGAAAUACCACCCUUUAACGUUUGAUGUUCUAACGAGACAUCCUAAUCGGGUGUUCGGACAGUGUCUGGUGGGUAGUUUGACUGGGGCGGUCUCCUCCCAAAGCGUAACGGAGGAGCACGAAGGUUUGCUAAUGACGGUCGGACAUCGUCAGGUUAGUGCAAUGGUAUAAGCAAGCUUAACUGCGAGACGGACAAGUCGAGCAGGUACGAAAGUAGGUCAUAGUGAUCCGGUGGUUCUGAAUGGAAGGGCCAUCGCUCAACGGAUAAAAGGUACUCCGGGGAUAACAGGCUGAUACCGCCCAAGAGUUCAUAUCGACGGCGGUGUUUGGCACCUCGAUGUCGGCUCAUCACAUCCUGGGGCUGAAGUAGGUCCCAAGGGUAUGGCUGUUCGCCAUUUAAAGUGGUACGCGAGCUGGGUUUAGAACGUCGUGAGACAGUUCGGUCCCUAUCUGCCGUGGGCGUUGGAGAAUUGAUUGGGGCUGCUCCUAGUACGAGAGGACCGGAGUGGACGCACCACUGGUGUUCGGGUUGUGUCGCCAGACGCAUUGCCCGGUAGCUAAGUGCGGAAGAGAUAAGUGCUGAAAGCAUCUAAGCACGAAACUUGCCAAGAGAUGAGUUCUCCCAGACUUUAGGUCUGUAAGGGUUGUUUGAGACUAAGACGUAGAUAGGUGGGGUGUGUAAGUAUUGUGAGAUAUUGAGCUAACCCAUACUAAUUGCCCGAGAGGCUUAACUAUACAACGCUCAAG